RNAcentral lists this non-coding RNA (90 nucleotides) under unclassified sequences. The record is from RNAcentral.
AGUAAGCUGCCACCGGGUAGUGAAAUGCAAGAAGCAUUCGUUUACACAUCGUUAGGUCUUAGAAGAUGUGUAUGCGGAUGCUUUUCUUAA